This 380-nucleotide ribosomal RNA is filed under the name Halocypris inflata. RNAcentral describes it as "SSU rRNA". Lineage: Eukaryota; Metazoa; Arthropoda; Ostracoda; Halocyprida; Halocyprididae. The record is from RNAcentral.
AUGCACGUUUUAGUACAAGCUGAAAGUAAAGUGAAACCGCGAACAGCUCAUUAAAUCAGUCUCUAUUUACAAGAUAGAAGGGCAACCGCAUAUGGAUAACUGCGGAAAUCCUGGAGCUAAUACAUGCCAUUGACAUCGCGARGAUCGAAAGAUUYGAGCGAAGACUUUAUUAGACCGAAUUGACRUUGAAGYUUGCUUCKUYGUCUCUUGGUGACUCCGAGUAACCGACAGUUGAUCACAAGGCCARCGCGCCUGUGACGUAUCUUUCAAGGGUCUGCCUCAUCAACUAGAUGGUUCGCAAACAGCCGACCAUGGUGGCGACGGGUGACGGGGAAUUAGGGUUCGAUUCCGGAGAGGGAGCCUGAGAGAUCGCUACCACA